CUCGUAGGCGGCUCCGUAAGUCGGGGGUGAAAUACAACGGCUCAACCGUUGGAACGCCCUCGAAACUACAGAGCUUGAGGUCGGGAGAGGAAAGCGGAAUUCCUGGAGUAGCGGUGAAAUGCGUAGAUAUCAGGAGGAACACCGGUGGCGAAGGCGGCUUUCUGGACCGAAUCUGACGCUGAGGAGCGAAAGCCAGGGGAGCGAACA
Molecule: ribosomal RNA, 207 nt
Filed under: uncultured bacterium
Lineage: Bacteria
Description: partial 16S ribosomal RNA
Rfam family: Bacterial small subunit ribosomal RNA
Source: RNAcentral